GAUGAAGAACGCAGCGAAAUGCGAUAAGUAAUGUGAAUUGCAGAAUUCAGUGAAUCAUCGAAUCUUUGAACGCACAUUGCGCCCGCUGGUAUUCCGGCGGGCAUGCCUGUUCGAGCGUCAUUUCAACCCUCAAGCUCUCCGGAGUUUGGUGUUGGGGCGCCUGGGGCUUUUCGACCUCAGGGCCCUCAAGUCCAUCGGCGGGACCGCCAGGACACUGAGCGCAGUAGUAUUAUUUCGCUCGGUAGGAUCUUCCUCGGCGGGUCGAUCUGGCCGCUAAACCCCCCAAUUCUCACCAAAGGUUGACCUCGGAUCAGGUAGGAAUACCCGCUGAACUUAAGCAUAUCAAUAAGCGGAGGA
This 357-nucleotide unclassified non-coding RNA is filed under the name soil metagenome. RNAcentral describes it as "partial contains 5.8S ribosomal RNA, internal transcribed spacer 2, and large subunit ribosomal RNA". The stretch from base 1 to 120 matches the Rfam family "5.8S ribosomal RNA", at positions 35 to 154 of the family's 154-position model. The record is from RNAcentral.